Molecule: long non-coding RNA, 504 nt
Organism: Eurytemora carolleeae
Lineage: Eukaryota; Metazoa; Arthropoda; Copepoda; Calanoida; Temoridae
Exons: 3
Source: RefSeq, a predicted model, not a curated record
AUUAUAUGAAAAUCUCUUUUUGAGUUUGCCAGAAGCUCGGAGAAAAAAUCUAAAAAAAGUCUGAGGUUAAAACAUGGCAUGAGAUUUGGUUUGGAAAAGAGCUUGUAAAGGUUUGGUUGUGGAUGAGAGGGAUGAAGUGAAUGAUUCUCUAGUAAGGGUCCAAAGCUUGCUCUCCAUCUCAGGGGUGCAGCAGGUUCGAUCAUAACUGAUGAACUCCAGGACCGAUUUGCCUCAAAUUUUGAUUAGAGAACUCAGAAGAACCACGGAAAUGUUUUCAGUCUGGUAUAAAACUUUUAAGUUGAGUUUAAGAUAAGCCAUAAAUUCUUUGUUAUGUAAAUUGCAUAUUUCUAUUUUCUUGAAUAAUUCCUAUUCAUUUGGAAUGUUCAUUGUUAGUUUCAAAUAUUAAAGUUGUAUCAAUAUAUUCAAUUUUGUUUAUGUGUACUAAGGAAAGUGUCAAUUUUGUAAUUAAGUUCUGGACAGUUAAUGAAAUUCCCCCCUGACCCC